AAGUCGUAACAAGGUUUCCGUAGGUGAACCUGCGGAAGGAUCAUUAACACGUAUCCAAACGUUAAACAACCCCGUGGUCAAGGCGUCCCCAAGUGACCAGUGAAUGAAAGUGUCGCUGGAGCGUCAAGGACGACUCUUCAAGCGACCGGCUUCCGUGUAUACUGAGCAUAAAAUCGCUCCCUCGAACCCCACUUUAUUGCCUUGCCUGUAAGCAUCCAUACGGAUGGGCAGGCCCCCCGAACAACUGUUAACAAUGGAUAUCUUGGUUCUC
RNAcentral lists this unclassified non-coding RNA (271 nucleotides) under fungal sp. RNAcentral's name for it is "partial internal transcribed spacer region". The stretch from base 1 to 46 matches the Rfam family "Eukaryotic small subunit ribosomal RNA", at positions 1786 to 1831 of the family's 1831-position model. The record is from RNAcentral. Lineage: Eukaryota; Fungi.